RNAcentral lists this ribosomal RNA (474 nucleotides) under uncultured beta proteobacterium. RNAcentral's name for it is "bacterial SSU rRNA". It matches the Rfam family "Bacterial small subunit ribosomal RNA", at positions 35 to 504 of the family's 1533-position model. The record is from RNAcentral. Lineage: Bacteria; Pseudomonadati; Pseudomonadota; Betaproteobacteria.
GCUGGCGGCAUGCUUUACACAUGCAAGUCGAACGGUAACGCGGGCUUCGGCCUGGCGACGAGUGGCGAACGGGUGAGUAGAACAUCGGAACGUAUCUUUUAGUGGGGGAUAGCCCGGCGAAAGCCGGAUUAAUACCGCAUGAGCUCUUAGGAGGAAAGCGGGGGACUUUCGGGCCUCGCGCUGGCAGAGCGGCCGAUGCCGGAUUAGCUUGUUGGUGGGGUAAGAGCCUACCAAGGCGAUGAUCCGUAGCUGGUCUGAGAGGAUGAUCAGCCACACUGGAACUGAGACACGGUCCAGACUCCUACGGGAGGCAGCAGUGGGGAAUUUUGGACAAUGGGGGCAACCCUGAUCCAGCCAUGCCGCGUGCGGGAAGAAGGCCUUCGGGUUGUAAACCGCUUUCAUACGGGACGAAAUGGCUCUGGUUAAUAUCCGGGGUUGAUGACGGUACCGUAAGAAGAAGCACCGGCUAACUAC